RNAcentral lists this ribosomal RNA (1433 nucleotides) under uncultured bacterium. RNAcentral describes it as "bacterial SSU rRNA". It matches the Rfam family "Bacterial small subunit ribosomal RNA". The record is from RNAcentral.
AGAGUUUGAUCAUGGCUCAGAACGUACGCUGGCGGCACGCCUAACACAUGCAAGUCGAACGAAGUAGCAAUACUUAGUGGCAGACGGGUGAGUAACAUGUAGGUAUCUGCCCUUUGGCCUGGAAUAACACGAGGAAACUUGUGCUAAUACCGGAUAAGUCUUUACGGAGAAAGCUUUAUGCACCAUUGGAUGAGCCUGCACUUGAUUAGUUUGUUGGUGGGGUAAUGGCCUACCAAGACUGUGAUCAAUAGCUGAUUUGAGAGGAUGAUCAGCCACAUUGGGACUGAGACACGGCCCAAACUCCUACGGGAGGCAGCAGUGGGGAAUCUUGCACAAUGGAGGAAACUCUGAUGCAGCGAUGCCGCGUGAGUGAAGAAGGCCCUUGGGUUGUAAAGCUCUUUCGUCGGGGAAGAAAAUGACUGUACCCGAAUAAGAAGGUCCGGCUAACUUCGUGCCAGCAGCCGCGGUAAUACGAAGGGACCUAGCGUAGUUCGGAAUUACUGGGCUUAAAGAGUUCGUAGGUGGUUGAAAAAGUUAGUGGUGAAAUCCCAGAGCUUAACUCUGGAACUGCCAUUAAAACUUUUCAGCUAGAGUAUGAUAGAGGAAAGCAGAAUUUCUAGUGUAGAGGUGAAAUUCGUAGAUAUUAGAAAGAAUACCAAUUGCGAAGGCAGCUUUCUGGAUCAUUACUGACACUGAGGAACGAAAGCAUGGGUAGCGAAGAGGAUUAGAUACCCUCGUAGUCCAUGCCGUAAACGAUGUGUGUUAGACGUUGGAAAUUUAUUUUCAGUGUCGCAGGGAAACCGAUAAACACACCGCCUGGGGAGUACGACCGCAAGGUUAAAACUCAAAUGAAUUGACGGGGACCCGCACAAGUAGUGGAGCAUGUGGUUUAAUUCGAAGAUACGCGCAGAACCUUACCAACACUUGACAUGUUCGUCGCGACUCUAAGAGAUUAGAGUUUUCGGUUCGGCCGGACGAAACACAGGUGCUGCAUGGCUGUCGUCAGCUCGUGUCGUGAGAUGUUGGGUUAAGUCCCGCAACGAGCGCAACCCUCACUUUUAGUUGCCAUCAUUAAGUUGGGCACUCUGAAAGAACUGCCAGUGAUAAGCUGGAGGAAGGUGGGGAUGACGUCAAGUCCUCAUGGCCCUUACGUGUUGGGCUACACAUGUGCUACAAUGGUAUCUACAACAGGAAGCAAGACUGCGAAGUUAAGCAAAUCCCUAAAAGAUACCUCAGUUCGGAUUGCACUCUGCAACUCGAGUGCAUGAAGCUGGAAUUACUAGUAAUCGUGGAUCAGCGUGCCACGGUGAAUGCGUUCCCGGGUCUUGUACACACCGCCCGUCACACCAUGGGAGUUGGUUCUACCUUAAGGCAGGGUUUCAAACCCUUGACCACGGUAUAGUCAGCGACUGGGGUGAAGUCGUAACAAGGUA